ACGGAGGGUGCAAGCGUUGUCCGGAAUCACUGGGUGUAAAGGGUGUGUAGGCGGGACUAUAAGUCAGAGGUGAAAUCCCACAGCUUAACUGUGGAACUGCCUUUGAUACUGUAGUUCUUGAAUAUCGGAGAGGUUGCUGGAAUUCGUGGUGUAGCGGUGAAAUGCGUAGAUAUCACGAGGAACACCAGAGGCGUAGGCGGGCAACUGGACGAUUAUUGACGCUGAGGCACGAAAGCGUGGGGAGCAAACAGG
This 252-nucleotide ribosomal RNA is filed under the name uncultured bacterium. RNAcentral describes it as "partial 16S ribosomal RNA". It matches the Rfam family "Bacterial small subunit ribosomal RNA", at positions 525 to 776 of the family's 1533-position model. The record is from RNAcentral.